AAGCCAUGAUGUGGGCAUUGAGACCAAUAGCCCUUGAACCUCUCCCAUGCUUCACUAAAUCN
This is a small nucleolar RNA of Brassica oleracea var. oleracea, 62 nucleotides long. It matches the Rfam family "Plant small nucleolar RNA R71". Rfam says of the family: R71 is a member of the C/D box family of snoRNAs containing the C (UGAUGA) and D (CUGA) box motifs. Multiple nearly identical copies of this snoRNA have been identified in Arabidopsis, and it is thought to function as a 2'-O-ribose methylation guide for 18S ribosomal RNA. Lineage: Eukaryota; Viridiplantae; Streptophyta; Magnoliopsida; Brassicales; Brassicaceae. The record is from Rfam.